AGUUUGAUCCUGGCUCAGGACGAACGCUGGCGGCGCGCCUAACACAUGCAAGUCGAACGAGUGAGAGAGAGCUUGCUUUCUCGAGCGAGUGGCGAACGGGUGAGUAACGCGUGAGGAACCUGCCUCAAAGAGGGGGACAACAGUUGGAAACGACUGCUAAUACCGCAUAAGCCCACGACCCGGCAUCGGGUAGAGGGAAAAGGAGCAAUCCGCUUUGAGAUGGCCUCGCGUCCGAUUAGCUAGUUGGUGAGGUAAUGGCCCACCAAGGCGACGAUCGGUAGCCGGACUGAGAGGUUGAACGGCCACAUUGGGACUGAGACACGGCCCAGACUCCUACGGGAGGCAGCAGUGGGGAAUAUUGCACAAUGGGGGAAACCCUGAUGCAGCGACGCCGCGUGGAGGAAGAAGGUCUUCGGAUUGUAAACUCCUGUUGUUGAGGAAGAUAAUGACGGUACUCAACAAGGAAGUGACGGCUAACUACGUGCCAGCAGCCGCGGUAAAACGUAGGUCACAAGCGUUGUCCGGAAUUACUGGGUGUAAAGGGAGCGCAGGCGGGAAGACAAGUUGGAAGUGAAAUCCAUGGGCUCAACCCAUGAACUGCUUUCAAAACUGUUUUUCUUGAGUAGUGCAGAGGUAGGCGGAAUUCCCGGUGUAGCGGUGGAAUGCGUAGAUAUCGGGAGGAACACCAGUGGCGAAGGCGGCCUACUGGGCACCAACUGACGCUGAGGCUCGAAAGUGUGGGUAGCAAACAGGAUUAGAUACCCUGGUAGUCCACACUGUAAACGAUGAUUACUAGGUGUUGGAGGAUUGACCCCUUCAGUGCCGCAGUUAACACAAUAAGUAAUCCACCUGGGGAGUACGACCGCAAGGUUGAAACUCAAAGGAAUUGACG
RNAcentral lists this ribosomal RNA (892 nucleotides) under uncultured bacterium. Its description in RNAcentral is "bacterial SSU rRNA". It matches the Rfam family "Bacterial small subunit ribosomal RNA", at positions 10 to 915 of the family's 1533-position model. The record is from RNAcentral.